Non-coding RNA from Paramuricea clavata, 452 nucleotides. Lineage: Eukaryota; Metazoa; Cnidaria; Anthozoa; Malacalcyonacea; Plexauridae. The record is from the annotation of a GenBank genome assembly.
AACGGGUGGGCACGACCACAUGCAAAACUAAAUUAAUUAAGCAAGGCAAUCGAGGAUUGGAUUACCUUUUUACGCAAGUGACUUAAUUUAAAUUCCGCAGUAAUAAAUAGCGCUGUCAUGCGUAAAGCGUCUAAUUCAAUUCUUGCGAAUGAGAGCUCACGGAUUGGCACUCCCAAAUAUUUGCAAAGAGAUAAGAAAUCAGCGAUGAAUGCGGCAUUGGUGACAAUUACGAAGCUGCCAAGUCGGGAAGUCAUGAUGCGAAAUAUUUAGCUGUGUUUUAGCAACCGUUUCUGAAGCCGUAUAUUAAAGUAAUUAAACAUGUCGCAUGUACGACAUCAGCACGAGCGUAGUUUAUCGCAAUGACUACCAAAAUUAACAAUAUAAUUUAGAGAAAAUAAAUAAUGUAUUCCGGCGCUUGUUUAGUAUAAACAAUACCCAAAGGCGAACACGCA